UGAGGAAUAUUGGUCAAUGGGCGGGAGCCUGAACCAGCCAAGCCGCGUGAGGGAAGAAGGCCCUAUGGGUCGUAAACCUCUUUUGUCAGGGAACAAAAGCGAGUAUGUAUACUAGUCUGAGUGUACCUGAAGAAAAAGCAUCGGCUAACUCCGUGCCAGCAGCCGCGGUAAUACGGAGGAUGCGAGCGUUAUCCGGAUUUAUUGGGUUUAAAGGGUGCGUAGGCGGCGAUGCGAGUCAGCGGUAAAAGCCCGGGGCUCAACUCCGGCGAGCCGUUGAAACUGCAGUGCUAGAGAAGGCGAGAGGUACGCGGAAUGCGCAGUGUAGCGGUGAAAUGCUUAGAUAUUGCGCAGAACUCCGAUUGCGAAGGCAGCGUACUGGCGCCUGACUGACGCUGAGGCACGAAAGCGUGGGGAUCGAACAGGAUUAGAUACC
Molecule: ribosomal RNA, 433 nt
Filed under: uncultured bacterium
Lineage: Bacteria
Description: bacterial SSU rRNA
Rfam family: Bacterial small subunit ribosomal RNA
Source: RNAcentral